ACCUGCAGACGUGCCCCACAUAAGCUCUCACCAGCUAAGUGUGAUUGGGCUCGGUUAGUACUUGGAUAGGAGGCAUCCAAGGAAAACCCAAUUGCUGCUUAUG
Molecule: ribosomal RNA, 103 nt
Filed under: Gopherus agassizii (Agassiz's desert tortoise)
Lineage: Eukaryota; Metazoa; Chordata; Testudines; Testudinidae
Source: RNAcentral